AGAGUUUGAUCCUGGCUCAGAAUCAACGCUGCGGCGUGCCUAACACAUGCAAGUCGAACGCGAGAGGGGCUUGGCCCUGAUUGAGUGGCGAACGGGUGAGUAACACGUGGGUGAUCACCUUUGAGUGGGGGAUAACGUUCCGAAAGGAACGCUAAUACCGCAUGACGUCCGGGUUGAAGACCUGGAACCAAAGCCGGGACCGCAAGGCCUGGCGCUUGGAGAGGAGCCCGCGCCUGAUUAGCUAGUUGGUGAGGUAACGGCUCACCAAGGCUACGAUCAGUAGCCGGCCUGAGAGGGCGGACGGCCACACUGGGACUGAGACACGGCCCAGACUCCUACGGGAGGCAGCAGUGGGGAAUUGUUCGCAAUGGGCGCAAGCCUGACGACGCAACGCCGCGUGGAGGAUGAGGGUCUUCGGAUUGUAAACUCCUGUUGAUCGGGAAGAAUGGACUCCGGGUUAAUACUCCGGGGUAGUGACGGUACCGAUUGAGGAAGCCACGGCUAACUCUGUG
This 512-nucleotide ribosomal RNA is filed under the name uncultured bacterium. RNAcentral's name for it is "bacterial SSU rRNA". It matches the Rfam family "Bacterial small subunit ribosomal RNA", at positions 8 to 507 of the family's 1533-position model. The record is from RNAcentral.